Non-coding RNA from Picea glauca (white spruce), 122 nucleotides. The record is from Rfam. Lineage: Eukaryota; Viridiplantae; Streptophyta; Pinopsida; Pinales; Pinaceae.
UCAUGUACAUUCCUACAACAUCAAUGCAUUGAAUCCCAUUAGAAAUUCGUAGUUACGCAAGCAUGGGCUAGAGUAGUACUGGGAUGGGUGACCUCCCAAAAAGUCCUAUUUUUUUACAUGCC